AGAAGCUUACAUAUGCAAUGGUCAUGGCUAAUUGGCAAUUAUGGUUCAUUAGGGAUCAUUUCCACAACAUAGGGCCAUUUCAACAGUUGGGAUCUAAAAUCAUGCGUGUAAGCCUAGUGGAUCACCAUAAUCAAUAAUAUACCAAGCUAAGCAAAAUGAUCUUAACCACCAUCUUGCCCAUAAACCAUUAGACAAUCAAAAUGCUAUUUCACAUUUAAAAACACAAAUUCAUAUCUUUUUUCUACUUAUUUUAGACUAUUUUAGAUAGACUAUAUUUAUGCGCAUGAGCUCUUGUGAUAUAUUUUGGUACCAUUCUUAAAUGAUUACUCAAUUCAUUCAUGCAUGUGUUCUUUUGUAAAUGAGUAAAUUUCACCUGUUGUCAAUAGUCAAUAUUUAGUUAUUAAAUCUCAUUGGAGCACUAAAAUUUCAAUAUGUG
This 436-nucleotide unclassified non-coding RNA is filed under the name Hevea brasiliensis (rubber tree). Lineage: Eukaryota; Viridiplantae; Streptophyta; Magnoliopsida; Malpighiales; Euphorbiaceae. The record is from RNAcentral.